Molecule: long non-coding RNA, 1057 nt
Organism: Populus trichocarpa (black cottonwood)
Lineage: Eukaryota; Viridiplantae; Streptophyta; Magnoliopsida; Malpighiales; Salicaceae
Exons: 2
Source: RefSeq, a predicted model, not a curated record
GUUAAUUGUAGAGAUGUUAAAAUAUUUAGUUACUUGAAAGAUGAAAACUAACCUUUAAUUGAACUAGAUUAAAGAUGAAAAUUUCAAUAUGAUUUUACUAGUGACAGAGGGAAAAUUAGAGCAUAUAUCUUGAUCUCCUGCCCACCUCUUUGAUUGGUAUCGAAGACAUGGAGAUGUUGUUGUAUUCGAUACAUCAGAUAGGAUAAAUUUUAAUUUUAAUGAUAUGCCUUUUAGUAUUUUCGUAGGAGUGGAUAAAAAUGGAAGGACUAUGCACUUCUGCGCAAUGAAAUAACAAGAGCAUUUCAGUAGUUGAUGAAGGCUUCUGCCUCUUCAUUCGCCUCUAGUUGUCGACUUAAUGCUGCUGCAAAUCCUCCUCCUGCGAGGACUUCUUCUACCGACUUUGCUGCUGCAAUUCCUUCUGCCGUGACUUUGCUGGAAGUUUCUGCUUGCUUCUGUCGUGCCUUUUCUGCUCUAUUGUAGACAUUUCUUAUUAUACUAUCUUGGUUCUCAUCAAAGACAUUGAACAAACAUUGUUGCUGCUCUAUUGAUAAUUUCUUGAUGCAACAUUGUAUGGAGCCACAGAGUCAAGAGCAUGUUGUCUUUUGGAAUAGUGAAUUUUUUUUAGUCCUUCGCAAAUAUUGUUUUAAAAUUCAUUCUAUGUAUUUUCCAUUACACCAUAACUUUCAGGAGAAAUUGUUUCGUCCGGUGAAGAAGUUCAUGACAAAAACCACUGGUGCUUUUGUUGGAAGUCCUCCAAAGUCAAAGACAAAAGAACGUCCCUUGCAAUAGAGAAAGGAAGGUGGAAAAGAGUUGAGAAAACAAACAAGGACGUGGAGGUUAUGCAAGCAUGCUGGUCACAACAUCACCACUUGUCCAGGGAAGGAGAAUGUUAAAAGAGAGUGCUGGGAUCCCAAAGAAAGCUAAUAAGAGGAAGACAAAUGAUUUAGGACAUGAAGUCUUGGAUCCUGUUUUUUCUUCCUUGUAAAAAACCAACUACUGCAUCUUAAUAAAUGCAUGAGACAUUUUAGGUGACCGAAUUGUCAUCAGAUGGGUCAGG